RNAcentral lists this ribosomal RNA (2895 nucleotides) under Escherichia coli. RNAcentral's name for it is "partial 23S ribosomal RNA". It matches the Rfam family "Bacterial large subunit ribosomal RNA". Lineage: Bacteria; Pseudomonadati; Pseudomonadota; Gammaproteobacteria; Enterobacterales; Enterobacteriaceae. The record is from RNAcentral.
GGUUAAGCGACUAAGCGUACACGGUGGAUGCCCUGGCAGUCAGAGGCGAUGAAGGACGUGCUAAUCUGCGAUAAGCGUCGGUAAGGUGAUAUGAACCGUUAUAACCGGCGAUUUCCGAAUGGGGAAACCCAGUGUGAUUCGUCACACUAUCAUUAACUGAAUCCAUAGGUUAAUGAGGCGAACCGGGGGAACUGAAACAUCUAAGUACCCCGAGGAAAAGAAAUCAACCGAGAUUCCCCCAGUAGCGGCGAGCGAACGGGGAGCAGCCCAGAGCCUGAAUCAGUGUGUGUGUUAGUGGAAGCGUCUGGAAAGGCGCGCGAUACAGGGUGACAGCCCCGUACACAAAAAUGCACAUGCUGUGAGCUCGAUGAGUAGGGCGGGACACGUGGUAUCCUGUCUGAAUAUGGGGGGACCAUCCUCCAAGGCUAAAUACUCCUGACUGACCGAUAGUGAACCAGUACCGUGAGGGAAAGGCGAAAAGAACCCCGGCGAGGGGAGUGAAAAAGAACCUGAAACCGUGUACGUACAAGCAGUGGGAGCACGCUUAGGCGUGUGACUGCGUACCUUUUGUAUAAUGGGUCAGCGACUUAUAUUCUGUAGCAAGGUUAACCGAAUAGGGGAGCCGAAGGGAAACCGAGUCUUAACUGGGCGUUAAGUUGCAGGGUAUAGACCCGAAACCCGGUGAUCUAGCCAUGGGCAGGUUGAAGGUUGGGUAACACUAACUGGAGGACCGAACCGACUAAUGUUGAAAAAUUAGCGGAUGACUUGUGGCUGGGGGUGAAAGGCCAAUCAAACCGGGAGAUAGCUGGUUCUCCCCGAAAGCUAUUUAGGUAGCGCCUCGUGAAUUCAUCUCCGGGGGUAGAGCACUGUUUCGGCAAGGGGGUCAUCCCGACUUACCAACCCGAUGCAAACUGCGAAUACCGGAGAAUGUUAUCACGGGAGACACACGGCGGGUGCUAACGUCCGUCGUGAAGAGGGAAACAACCCAGACCGCCAGCUAAGGUCCCAAAGUCAUGGUUAAGUGGGAAACGAUGUGGGAAGGCCCAGACAGCCAGGAUGUUGGCUUAGAAGCAGCCAUCAUUUAAAGAAAGCGUAAUAGCUCACUGGUCGAGUCGGCCUGCGCGGAAGAUGUAACGGGGCUAAACCAUGCACCGAAGCUGCGGCAGCGACGCUUAUGCGUUGUUGGGUAGGGGAGCGUUCUGUAAGCCUGUGAAGGUGUGCUGUGAGGCAUGCUGGAGGUAUCAGAAGUGCGAAUGCUGACAUAAGUAACGAUAAAGCGGGUGAAAAGCCCGCUCGCCGGAAGACCAAGGGUUCCUGUCCAACGUUAAUCGGGGCAGGGUGAGUCGACCCCUAAGGCGAGGCCGAAAGGCGUAGUCGAUGGGAAACAGGUUAAUAUUCCUGUACUUGGUGUUACUGCGAAGGGGGGACGGAGAAGGCUAUGUUGGCCGGGCGACGGUUGUCCCGGUUUAAGCGUGUAGGCUGGUUUUCCAGGCAAAUCCGGAAAAUCAAGGCUGAGGCGUGAUGACGAGGCACUACGGUGCUGAAGCAACAAAUGCCCUGCUUCCAGGAAAAGCCUCUAAGCAUCAGGUAACAUCAAAUCGUACCCCAAACCGACACAGGUGGUCAGGUAGAGAAUACCAAGGCGCUUGAGAGAACUCGGGUGAAGGAACUAGGCAAAAUGGUGCCGUAACUUCGGGAGAAGGCACGCUGAUAUGUAGGUGAAGUCCCUCGCGGAUGGAGCUGAAAUCAGUCGAAGAUACCAGCUGGCUGCAACUGUUUAUUAAAAACACAGCACUGUGCAAACACGAAAGUGGACGUAUACGGUGUGACGCCUGCCCGGUGCCGGAAGGUUAAUUGAUGGGGUCAGCGCAAGCGAAGCUCUUGAUCGAAGCCCCGGUAAACGGCGGCCGUAACUAUAACGGUCCUAAGGUAGCGAAAUUCCUUGUCGGGUAAGUUCCGACCUGCACGAAUGGCGUAAUGAUGGCCAGGCUGUCUCCACCCGAGACUCAGUGAAAUUGAACUCGCUGUGAAGAUGCAGUGUACCCGCGGCAAGACGGAAAGACCCCGUGAACCUUUACUAUAGCUUGACACUGAACAUUGAGCCUUGAUGUGUAGGAUAGGUGGGAGGCUUAGAAGUGUGGACGCCAGUCUGCAUGGAGCCGACCUUGAAAUACCACCCUUUAAUGUUUGAUGUUCUAACGUUGACCCGUAAUCCGGGUUGCGGACAGUGUCUGGUGGGUAGUUUGACUGGGGCGGUCUCCUCCUAAAGAGUAACGGAGGAGCACGAAGGUUGGCUAAUCCUGGUCGGACAUCAGGAGGUUAGUGCAAUGGCAUAAGCCAGCUUGACUGCGAGCGUGACGGCGCGAGCAGGUGCGAAAGCAGGUCAUAGUGAUCCGGUGGUUCUGAAUGGAAGGGCCAUCGCUCAACGGAUAAAAGGUACUCCGGGGAUAACAGGCUGAUACCGCCCAAGAGUUCAUAUCGACGGCGGUGUUUGGCACCUCGAUGUCGGCUCAUCACAUCCUGGGGCUGAAGUAGGUCCCAAGGGUAUGGCUGUUCGCCAUUUAAAGUGGUACGCGAGCUGGGUUUAGAACGUCGUGAGACAGUUCGGUCCCUAUCUGCCGUGGGCGCUGGAGAACUGAGGGGGGCUGCUCCUAGUACGAGAGGACCGGAGUGGACGCAUCACUGGUGUUCGGGUUGUCAUGCCAAUGGCACUGCCCGGUAGCUAAAUGCGGAAGAGAUAAGUGCUGAAAGCAUCUAAGCACGAAACUUGCCCCGAGAUGAGUUCUCCCUGACUCCUUGAGAGUCCUGAAGGAACGUUGAAGACGACGACGUUGAUAGGCCGGGUGUGUAAGCGCAGCGAUGCGUUGAGCUAACCGGUACUAAUGAACCGUGAGG